CCAGACGGCCGGACGGUCGCUGCCGCGCCUGAGCUGCCCGCAAGGGUCGCGCCAGGCAAGGUGGAGGAAAGUCCGGGCUCCACGAAGGAACGGUGCCGGUUAACGACCGGCGGGGGCGACCCCAGGGAAAGUGCCACAGAAAACAAACCGCCUGCACGCCCGGGCAACCGGACCCGCCUGCAGGCAAGGGUGAAACGGUGCGGCAAGAGCGCACCGCGCUUCCGGCAACGGCGGCGGCAGGGCAAACCCCACCGGGAGCAAGACCGAAUAGGGGCGGCAGGGCGGGUUCGCGACCUUCGGGAAGCGGGCCACGUCCGGAGGUCUUUCGCCUCGCCGCCCGGGUUGGUCGCGCGAGGCACGCAGCGAUGCGUGUCCCAGAGGAAUGACCGUCUCGUGCCGCAAGGCACGGACAGAACCCGGCUUACAGGCCGUCUGGCACC
RNAcentral lists this RNase P RNA (440 nucleotides) under Lichenicoccus roseus. RNAcentral describes it as "Bacterial RNase P class A". It matches the Rfam family "Bacterial RNase P class A". Rfam says of the family: Ribonuclease P (RNase P) is a ubiquitous endoribonuclease, found in archaea, bacteria and eukarya as well as chloroplasts and mitochondria. Its best characterised activity is the generation of mature 5'-ends of tRNAs by cleaving the 5'-leader elements of precursor-tRNAs. Cellular RNase Ps are ribonucleoproteins. Lineage: Bacteria; Pseudomonadati; Pseudomonadota; Alphaproteobacteria; Acetobacterales; Acetobacteraceae. The record is from Rfam by way of RNAcentral.